CCUACGGGAGGCUGCAGUGAGGAAUAUUGGUCAAUGGACGAGAGUCUGAACCAGCCAAGCAGCGUGAAGGAUGACUGCCCUAUGGGUUGUAAACUUCUUUUAUAUGGGAAUAAAAUGUUCCACGUGUGGGGUUUUGUAUGUACCAUAUGAAUAAGGAUCGGCUAACUCCGUGCCAGCAGCCGCGGUAAUACGGAGGAUUCGAGCGUUAUCCGGAUUUAUUGGGUUUAAAGGGAGCGUAGGUGGAAUGUUAAGUCAGUUGUGAAAGUUUGCGGCUCAACCGUAAAAUUGCAGUUGAAACUGGCAGUCUUGAGUACAGGAGAGGUAGGCGGAAUUCGUGGUGUAGCGGUGAAAUGCUUAGAUAUCACGAGGAACUCCGAUUGCGAAGGCAGCUCACUGGACUGCAACUGACACUGAGGCUCGAAAGUGUGGGGAUCAAACAGGAUUAGAUACCCUUGUAGUC
This 460-nucleotide ribosomal RNA is filed under the name uncultured bacterium. RNAcentral's name for it is "partial 16S ribosomal RNA". It matches the Rfam family "Bacterial small subunit ribosomal RNA", at positions 338 to 795 of the family's 1533-position model. The record is from RNAcentral.